This 345-nucleotide ribosomal RNA is filed under the name uncultured bacterium. Its description in RNAcentral is "bacterial SSU rRNA". It matches the Rfam family "Bacterial small subunit ribosomal RNA", at positions 28 to 336 of the family's 1533-position model. The record is from RNAcentral.
GAUGAACGCUGGCGGCGUGCCUAAUACAUGCAAGUCGAACGCAUUGUGGUUGAAAUGAUAUGAAGAACUUGUUCAGAUUUGAUUUUCAACAUUGCAAUGAGUGGCGAACGGGUGAGUAACACGUGGGAAACCUACCUCUUAGCAGGGGAUAACAUUUGGAAACAAAUGCUAAUACCGUAUAAUAAUUAAAACCGCAUGGUUUAGUUUAAAAGAUGGUCUUGCUAUCACUAAGAGAUGGUCCCGCGGUGUAUUAGUUAGUUGGUGAGGUAAUGGCUCACCAAGACAAUGAUACAUAGCCGAGUUGAGAGACUGACCGGCACAAUGGGACUGAGACACGGCCCAUAC